This 490-nucleotide ribosomal RNA is filed under the name uncultured bacterium. RNAcentral's name for it is "partial 16S ribosomal RNA". It matches the Rfam family "Bacterial small subunit ribosomal RNA", at positions 28 to 507 of the family's 1533-position model. The record is from RNAcentral.
GAUGAACGCUAGCGAUAGGCUUAACACAUGCAAGUCGAGGGGCAGCAUGGUCUUAGCUUGCUAAGGCUGAUGGCGACCGGCGCACGGGUGCGUAACGCGUAUGCAACUUGCCUCACAGAGGGGGAUAACCCGUCGAAAGACGGACUAAUACCGCGUACACUCUAUGUUGGGCAUCCAAUGUAGAGGAAAUGAAAUUCGCUGUGAGAUAGGCAUGCGUCCCAUUAGCUAGUUGGUGAGGUAACGGCUCACCAAGGCGACGAUGGGUAGGGGAACUGAGAGGUUGAACCCCCACACUGGUACUGAGACACGGACCAGACGCCUACGGGAGGCAGCAGUGAGGAAUAUUGGUCAAUGGGCGAGAGCCUGAACCAGCCAAGUCGCGUGAAGGAUGACUGUCUUAUGGAUUGUAAACUUCUUUUAUACGGGAAUAACAAGAGUCACGUGUGGCUCCCUGCAUGUACCGUAUGAAUAAGCAUCGGCUAACUCCGUG